Long non-coding RNA from Homo sapiens (human), 2133 nucleotides. RefSeq lists it as uncharacterized. The transcript has 3 exons. NCBI's taxonomy places the organism in Eukaryota, Metazoa, Chordata, Mammalia, Primates, Hominidae. The record is from RefSeq and is a predicted model, not a curated record.
GUCUGAGCGCGCUGGGCUCGUCCCGGUGCCGGAAACGAGCGCUGCCCGGCGAGCGGCCUUGGGGACCCAGGGCUGGGGCCCGUGGCCUACACGAGGCCAGAGAUCCCCACUGGCCCCGAGAGGCCGCCCAGCGCUGGAGGUGCGGGCAGAGCUGCAGCCAAGCUCCCGAGGCGAUCUGCUGUUAGGCCACAACCUGGGCUCGCCUAGUGCCCGAGGCCCAAGUCGCAGUUCUCGUGAAAACGAAAAGGAGAUCGGCUAUGCCCUGGACACAAAGGAAGACCCGCGGGGUGGGUCUAGGGACAGUCCUGAAGCUUUAGCCAGUUUAAGGGGAAGGCGGGCAGCAAGGUCCCAGUCGGGCCCGAUUUCCCUCCUGUUUGAUGACCGGGCGACGAGGGAAACAAAGAUCCAGCCCGAGGGCGCGCCCCCCUUUCCCCUAAUAACCCUGCACCUGGGGGAGACCAGUGGAUACAACCUAUGAGGGCUUCUGGCGGGGUAGGGCGAAGCCGAGAUGUCCACCCCACAGGCCAAAAGCUCUUAAGACCAAAACGGUCUUUCAGGGCGCGGUUGCACGGUAGCACCCCCAUUUCCCAAACCGCAGAUUAAAACUGCGCGGGGUCCAGAGUUGGAGCGUGGAAGGGCCCGCAGGAGUGGAAGUGCGUACACCUGAUGCGGGACGGGAACUGCCGGGCGCGCACGGCUGCAGCCCCCACCCGCAGGCUGUUUCAGCCGGCAGCGUAUUUCUCAAUUGCCUGCGCCUGGUUUUUUGAAAUGUGCCGAAGCCGUGGCGGGAACCGGUCCCAAGGGCUGCGCAUGGCACCAGGAAUAAGCAGCCCGGAGGGGUUUGCAAAUCAGGAGGCCUUGCUGCAGACCCCGCACCCGGGCUGGGGGAACGGCAUUUCGGGCCUUGGUACCCGGAGUGUAGGAGCUGGGAGGAGAAAGACGUCUCUCCUGACUCCCAAAUCCCAUGAACUGAUUCGGCCCCGCACAGAGCAGGUUUCCGGUUUUGCACUGCCUCAGGGGACUGCUUACAGAGACCCCACGCAGUGAUCCCGUGACCCCUGUUGCUAGACAUCCAGAGGCUUCUGGUCCCUAAGUGCCAAGGUAGGCGUUUCUUGGGGCCCAGAAACGGCCUAGCCAGGGGCAGGUGGCAAACGCCAGCACAGUCUCAGCACCUCGGGACCUUAGGCGCUGCCUCGCGCAACUUCUGCGCCCCAAUCCAUGCCUGAGAAGAAACCCUGAGCCCCGAACACGCCGGAAGUUUCCCCAGCGCGUCUAAGAGGCUUCGCCUGCUGGAGGGCCCGAGACGCAGCAAAGAAGAGGCUCCGGGAGGAACUUGGGAUCGUACGGACACGCAACCACUUCUGGGAUUAAGCGCGGAAGACGUUUCCUAAAUGCCCUGAAUCCCCGUUUGCCUGGUAGGCCACCUCCAAACUCAGAGUCACUAAACACCAGAAAAGCUGGUGGCCACCGAAACCCAGCUCUGUAAAGAAGAAAAACCCAGACGUAAUUGGGUGCUAGUACUGAAGACCAAGUGCGCACAGAAAACCGCAGACCGUGCAGAGGCCCAGGGCGGAAGGGAUGCGGGCAGCGGACAGCGACUCAGGCAGCAGCCGCGGAGUCCCCAGCGGUUUAGCUCCCCAGCCGGAGGCUCUCCGCGCCGUUCCUGGAUGAAGAGAAACGCCUGGCGUUCCCGGGUGCGCGGUUCCCGUUCCCAGGCAGCUCGGCGGGCAUUCGGCUCGCAGCCCCGAGCCUUCGCGGUCUGAUUUGGGAGGCCUGCGCCCUGGCAUUUGCAUAUUCCCGGGAACACUGGGAGGCCUGUAAUUUUCUUUUUAAAAUCGUUGGGCAGGGUUUAGGGCCAAUGCUUCCAAAACCCCGCCGAGUUGAUGUCGUCCUUAAACUCUCCCUUAAGAGAAGGGGACUGGCCUAUUCUUCUGACUUUUUUAGAAAAGGUGACUCCUGGGGCUGCAUAUUCAACAGGGGGGAAAGCUGAUUGUGAACCAGGCUGUGGGGGGAGAGAGGGGAGAGUGGAGGGGGAUGAGGCGCGGCGUAGGGGGGAAAGGAGGGAAGGCAAGUCAUCUCUGGAAUUCAAUUGUUUAAAAAAAUCAUUUAUAAUUAAAGGGACAAAAUAAAAUA